This 792-nucleotide ribosomal RNA is filed under the name Bacillus sp. (in: firmicutes). RNAcentral describes it as "bacterial SSU rRNA". It matches the Rfam family "Bacterial small subunit ribosomal RNA", at positions 50 to 825 of the family's 1533-position model. Lineage: Bacteria; Bacillati; Bacillota; Bacilli; Caryophanales; Bacillaceae. The record is from RNAcentral.
AAGACAUGCAAGUCGAGCGAACAGAAGGGAGCUUGCUCCCGGAUGUUAGCGGCGGACGGGUGAGUAACACGUGGGUAACCUGCCUGUAAGACUGGGAUAACUCCGGGAAACCGGAGCUAAUACCGGAUAGUUCCUUGAACCGCAUGGUUCAAGGAUGAAAGACGGUUUCGGCUGUCACUUACAGAUGGACCCGCGGCGCAUUAGCUAGUUGGUGGGGUAAUGGCUCACCAAGGCGACGAUGCGUAGCCGACCUGAGAGGGUGAUCGGCCACACUGGGACUGAGACACGGCCCAGACUCCUACGGGAGGCAGCAGUAGGGAAUCUUCCGCAAUGGACGAAAGUCUGACGGAGCAACGCCGCGUGAGUGAUGAAGGUUUUCGGAUCGUAAAGCUCUGUUGUUAGGGAAGAACAAGUGCGAGAGUAACUGCUCGCACCUUGACGGUACCUAACCAGAAAGCCACGGCUAACUACGUGCCAGCAGCCGCGGUAAUACGUAGGUGGCAAGCGUUGUCCGGAAUUAUUGGGCGUAAAGGGCUCGCAGGCGGUUUCUUAAGUCUGAUGUGAAAGCCCCCGGCUCAACCGGGGAGGGUCAUUGGAAACUGGGAAACUUGAGUGCAGAAGAGGAGAGUGGAAUUCCACGUGUAGCGGUGAAAUGCGUAGAGAUGUGGAGGAACACCAGUGGCGAAGGCGACUCUCUGGUCUGUAACUGACGCUGAGGAGCGAAAGCGUGGGGAGCGAACAGGAUUAGAUACCCUGGUAGUCCACGCCGUAAACGAUGAGUGCUAGUGGUUU